This 492-nucleotide ribosomal RNA is filed under the name uncultured bacterium. Its description in RNAcentral is "partial 16S ribosomal RNA". It matches the Rfam family "Bacterial small subunit ribosomal RNA", at positions 29 to 507 of the family's 1533-position model. The record is from RNAcentral.
AGUGAACGCUGGCGGUAGGCCUAACACAUGCAAGUCGAACGGCAGCACAGUAAGAGCUUGCUCUUACGGGUGGCGAGUGGCGGACGGGUGAGGAAUACAUCGGAGUCUACUUUUUCGUGGGGGAUAACGUAGGGAAACUUACGCUAAUACCGCAUACGACCUACGGGUGAAAGCAGGGGAUCUUCGGACCUUGCGCGAUUGAAUGAGCCGAUGUCGGAUUAGCUAGUUGGCGGGGUAAAGGCCCACCAAGGCGACGAUCCGUAGCUGGUCUGAGAGGAUGAUCAGCCACACUGGAACUGAGACACGGUCCAGACUCCUACGGGAGGCAGCAGUGGGGAAUAUUGGACAAUGGGCGCAAGCCUGCUCCAGCCAUACCGCGUGGGUGAAGAAGGCCUUCGGGUUGUAAAGCCCUUUUGUUGGGAAAGAAAAGCAGCAGGUUAAUACCCCGCUGUUCUGACGGUACCCAAAGAAUAAGCACCGGCUAACUUCGUG